UGGGGAAUUUUGCACAAUGGGCGCAAGCCUGAUGCAGCGACGCCGCGUGAGGGAUGAAGGCCUUCGGGUUGUAAACCUUUUUCGCUCAUGGUCAAGCCGCAGCUUUGGGUUGUGGUGAGGGUAGUGGGUAAAGAAGCCCCGGCUAAAUACGUGCCAGCAGCCGCGGUAAUACGUAUGGGGCGAGCGUUGUCCGGAAUUAUUGGGCGUAAAGGGUACGUAGGCGGUCUAUUAAGUCAGGUGUGAAAGCGUGAGGCUUAACCUCAUUAAGCACUUGAAACUGAUAGACUUGAGUGAAGGAGAGGAAAGUGGAAUUCCUAGUGUAGCGGUGAAAUGCGUAGAUAUUAGGAGGAAUACCGGUGGCGAAGGCGACUUUCUGGACUUUUACUGACGCUCAGGUACGAAAGCGUGGGGAGCAAACAGG
This 421-nucleotide ribosomal RNA is filed under the name Verrucomicrobiota bacterium. RNAcentral's name for it is "Verrucomicrobia bacterium partial 16S ribosomal RNA". It matches the Rfam family "Bacterial small subunit ribosomal RNA", at positions 355 to 776 of the family's 1533-position model. The record is from RNAcentral. Lineage: Bacteria; Pseudomonadati; Verrucomicrobiota.